This is a long non-coding RNA of Vespa mandarinia (Asian giant hornet), 878 nucleotides long. NCBI's taxonomy places the organism in Eukaryota, Metazoa, Arthropoda, Insecta, Hymenoptera, Vespidae. The record is from RefSeq and is a predicted model, not a curated record.
UCUUCCUUUUAAUAUUUUCCUUUCGUCGAUUUCCUUUUGCCAAUAAUUUCUUCUUCUUUUCUUUCCUUUUGUAAUUUUAAUAAUAAUAAUAUAACAUGUGAUACUUAGGAUGAUACUUCUAGCGAGUAAAUACAUGGAUAUGGAUUCGUGAACAUUUAACGCGAUGCAAAAAAAAAAAAAAAAAGAGUAAAGAAAAAAAAAAAGAUAAAAGAAAAAGAAAAAAGAAACAUUGUACUUACAAAGAGUACGCAACAAGCUAGAAACGAGCAGAGUUAGAGUUAGAGAGAGAAAGAGAGAGAGAGAGAGAGCUUUGCCUGCUUCGUUCGCCGUUUUAAAAGGGCUAUAAAGCAUUUACCCUGGCGAAGACAAAAAGAAAAACGGAAGAAGAGAGGAAAGGAAAGGUAAAACGAAAAAUAAGGAGGAUGUCUGCUGUAGACCGAGAGUCGAGAGAGAGAGAGAGAGAGAGAGAGAGAGAGAGAGAGAGAGAGAGAGAGAGAGAGAGAGAGAGAGAGAGAGAGAGAGAGAGAAAGAAAGAAAGAGAAAGAAAGAGAUGGUUGGACCAGGGUCGGGGAUGAAUAGUAGUAGUAGUAGUAGUAGUAGUAGUAGUAGUAGUAGUAAUAGUAGUAGUACAGUAGUAGUACUAGUAAUAGUGUUAGCGAUGGUGGCGGUGGUGGUUGGUGGUGGUGAGAGGAACGAGGUUGAAAUAAACCGGUGGCAGUAAAAAUAUUUACUGUGGUGUAAAUACAGCGAUAAAAGUGGUCUCUACAAGUCAGAGAAGGGGACUUAUUUUCAGAGGUCAGGUACAACACGUCAUAAAGAAGAACCUUGAAAAAUAAAAUUUAACACGGAGAGAGAAAUAUGCGAGCAAAGUUUGAAGG